This 463-nucleotide ribosomal RNA is filed under the name uncultured Acidobacteriota bacterium. RNAcentral describes it as "bacterial SSU rRNA". It matches the Rfam family "Bacterial small subunit ribosomal RNA", at positions 224 to 704 of the family's 1533-position model. The record is from RNAcentral. Lineage: Bacteria; Pseudomonadati; Acidobacteriota.
GAGGAGUCCGCGGCCGAUUAGCUAGUUGGCGGGGUAACGGCCCACCAAGGCGAAGAUCGGUAGCCGGCCUGAGAGGGCUCACGGCCACACUGGCACUGAAACACGGGCCAGACUCCUACGGGAGGCAGCAGUGGGGAAUCUUGCACAAUGGAGGAAACUCUGAUGCAGCGACGCCGCGUGAGCGAUGAAGCCCCUCGGGGUGUAAAGCUCUUUCGACGGGAAAGAUUAUGACGGUACCCGAAGAAGAAGCUGCGGCUAACUACGUGCCAGCAGCCGCGGUAAUACGUAGGCGGCAAGCGUUGUUCGGAAUUACUGGGCGUAAAGAGUGUGUAGGCGGUGCUCUAAGUCUGUCGUGAAAUCUCCCGGCUUAACUGGGAGGGUGCGGCGGAAACUGGAGUGCUCGAGGGUGGGAGAGGAAAGCGGAAUUCCUGGUGUAGCGGUGAAAUGCGUAGAUAUCAGGAGG